AUCUAGCUUCGGCUAGGGAGUCGCGAACGGCUGAGUAAUAGAUAGGAAUCUACCCUUUGGUGGGGAAUAACCCGGAGAAAUCCAGGUUAAUACCGCAUAAUAUCUACGGAGGAAAGGGCGUAACUGCCCGCCGAAGGAGGAGCCUAUCUCCCAUCAGCUUGUUGGUAGGGUAAUGGCCUACCAAGGCUUCGACGGGUAGGGGGCGUGAGAGCGUGUACCCCCAGAAUGGCACUGAGACACGGGCCAUACACCUACGGGUGGCAGCAACCGGGAAUUGUGCGCAAUGGGCGAAAGCCUGACGCCGCGACGCCGCGUGAGGGAUGAAGGCCUGAGGGUCGUAAACCUCUUUUGGUCGCCAAGAGAUU
RNAcentral lists this ribosomal RNA (365 nucleotides) under uncultured bacterium. RNAcentral describes it as "bacterial SSU rRNA". It matches the Rfam family "Bacterial small subunit ribosomal RNA", at positions 69 to 452 of the family's 1533-position model. The record is from RNAcentral.